AUGACUUUUCUCAUCAUAGCCAUUAUCAUCACUGGAAAACCAAGGGGAAAAUCCAUUCAAGAUUUGGGGGAUUGGAAAGAACCAUCAGCGGCAAAUGUAUUUGACCUCAAUGUAAAUUCAGUCCGCAUCAUGGUAGGAUCGCUCAUAGGCAAUCCUCAUCAUCUGGUUCUGUUAUUAUCCCUCCAAUACAGUUAUUACCUUAAAAUACUAGGUUUCUCAAAAACCAAUAGACAAAUCAGAAAAUACAAACACGUAAGGCGGCUCAGAUGUAAAAUGGGUUGUAAGUUUGUUUAUCAGCACAAGGAGAUAAAUCUCUUCAGAGUGGUGCAUGACUUUUCUCAUCAUAGCCUUUGCUUCUACAAAGCACCUAUUUUGCAGACAUAA
Molecule: ribosomal RNA, 384 nt
Filed under: Triticum aestivum (bread wheat)
Lineage: Eukaryota; Viridiplantae; Streptophyta; Magnoliopsida; Poales; Poaceae
Description: partial small subunit ribosomal RNA
Source: RNAcentral